RNAcentral lists this ribosomal RNA (994 nucleotides) under uncultured Campylobacterota bacterium. RNAcentral's name for it is "bacterial SSU rRNA". It matches the Rfam family "Bacterial small subunit ribosomal RNA", at positions 509 to 1504 of the family's 1533-position model. The record is from RNAcentral. Lineage: Bacteria; Pseudomonadati; Campylobacterota.
CAGCCGCCGCGGUAAUACUAGGGGUGCAAGCGUUGUCCGGAAUCACUGGGCGUAAAGGACGCGUAGGCUGGUUGGUAAGUCAGAUGUGAAAUCCUACAGCUCAACUGUAGAACUGCAUUUGAAACUACCAACCUAGAGUAUGGGAGGGGGAGAUGGAAUUAGUGGUGUAGGGGUAAAAUCCGUAGAUAUCACUAGGAAUACCGAAAGCGAAGGCGAUCUCCUGGAACAUUACUGACGCUGAGGCGUGAAAGCGUGGGGAGCAAACGGGAUUAGAUACCCCGGUAGUCCACGCCCUAAACGAUGAACACUAGUCGUCGGGAUGCUUGUCAUCUCGGUGAUGCACUUAACAGAUUAAGUGUUCCGCCUGGGGAGUACGGUCGCAAGGUUGAAACUCAAAGGAAUUGACGGGGGCCCGCACAAGCGGUGGAGCAUGUGGUUUAAUUCGAUGCAACGCGAAGAACCUUACCAGCCCUUGACAUCCUGGGAACUUACUAGAGAUAGUUUGGUGCCUUCGGGAAUCCAGUGACAGGUGCUGCAUGGCUGUCGUCAGCUCGUGUCGUGAGAUGCUGGGUUAAGUCCCGUAACGAGCGCAACCCUUGUCCUUAUUUGCCAUCAUUAAGUUGGGCACUCUAGGGAGACUGCCGUGACAAACCGGAGGAAGGUGGGGACGACGUCAAGUCAUCAUGGUCCUUAUGGCUUGGGCUACACACGUGCUACAAUGGGGCGUACAGAGAGUUGCGAUACCGCGAGGUGGAGCUAAUCUCAUAAAGCGUCUCUCAGUUCGGAUAGAACUCUGCAACUCGAGUUCUUGAAGCUGGAAUCACUAGUAAUCGUAGAUCAGCAAUGCUACGGUGAAUACGUUCCCGGGUCUUGUACUCACCGCCCGUCACACCAUGGGAGUUGAUUUCACCCGAAAUCGGGAAGCGAACCUUCGGGGCGCUACCGCUUACGGUGGAAUUAGCGACUGGGGUGAAGUCGUAACAAGGUAACCGUA